GAUGAAGAACGCAGCGAAAUGCGAUAAGUAGUGUGAAUUGCAGAAUUCAGUGAAUCAUCGAAUCUUUGAACGCACAUUGCGCCCCUUGGUAUUCCAUGGGGCAUGCCUGUUCGAGCGUCAUUUGUACCUUCAAGCUCUGCUUGGUGUUGGGUGUUUGUCUCGCCUCUGCGUGUAGACUCGCCUCAAAACAAUUGGCAGCCGGCGUAUUGAUUUCGGAGCGCAGUACAUCUCGCGCUUUGCACUCAUAACGACGACGUCCAAAUGUACAUUUUUACACUCUUGACCUCGGAUCAGGUAGGGAUACCCGCUGAACUUAAGCAUAUCAAUAAGCGGAGGA
RNAcentral lists this unclassified non-coding RNA (337 nucleotides) under soil metagenome. RNAcentral describes it as "partial contains 5.8S ribosomal RNA, internal transcribed spacer 2, and large subunit ribosomal RNA". The stretch from base 1 to 120 matches the Rfam family "5.8S ribosomal RNA", at positions 35 to 154 of the family's 154-position model. The record is from RNAcentral.